UCGUAACAAGGUUUCCGUAGGUGAACCUGCGGAAGGAUCAUUACCGAGUGUAGGGUUCCUAGCGAGCCCAACCUCCCACCCGUGUUUACUGUACCUUAGUUGCUUCGGCGGGCCCGCCAUUCAUGGCCGCCGGGGGCUCUCAGCCCCGGGCCCGCGCCCGCCGGAGACACCACGAACUCUGUCUGAUCUAGUGAAGUCUGAGUUGAUUGUAUCGCAAUCAGUUAAAACUUUCAACAAUGGAUCUCUUGGUUCCGGCAUCGAUGAAGAACGCAGCGAAAUGCGAUAACUAGUGUGAAUUGCAGAAUUCCGUGAAUCAUCGAGUCUUUGAACGCACAUUGCGCCCCCUGGUAUUCCGGGGGGCAUGCCUGUCCGAGCGUCAUUGCUGCCCAUCAAGCACGGCUUGUGUGUUGGGUCGUCGUCCCCUCUCCGGGGGGGACGGGCCCCAAAGGCAGCGGCGGCACCGCGUCCGAUCCUCGAGCGUAUGGGGCUUUGUCACCCGCUCUGUAGGCCCGGCCGGCGCUUGCCGAACGCAAAUCAAUCUUUUUCCAGGUUGACCUCGGAUCAGGUAGGGAUACCCGCUGAACCUAAGCAUAUC
RNAcentral lists this unclassified non-coding RNA (595 nucleotides) under Aspergillus flavus. Its description in RNAcentral is "sequence contains 18S rRNA gene, ITS1, 5.8S rRNA gene, ITS2, 28S rRNA gene". The stretch from base 226 to 379 matches the Rfam family "5.8S ribosomal RNA". Lineage: Eukaryota; Fungi; Ascomycota; Eurotiomycetes; Eurotiales; Aspergillaceae. The record is from RNAcentral.